AGAAAUAGUGGCAGAUUUCAGAUUUCUACAAUUACUUCAGUGUUGACUGAUGAGAAGAUCGAUUAGCGCUUAAAAGACUAUUUUUUUUCUUCCGAGUUCAAUUCUGGACGGUGGAAUCCACGGUUGAUUUCACGGAAACAGAAUCUAAUAGAAGGAGGUUACAGCCACAAUAUGAUGUCAUCUUUUGCUUCUUAAUUCGGACGAACAUAAAAAAUCGGCAUCCUUUUCAAACGAAACAACUUCCUUACAAUUUAUGUCCAU
This is a long non-coding RNA of Telopea speciosissima, 261 nucleotides long. RefSeq lists it as uncharacterized. The record is from RefSeq and is a predicted model, not a curated record. The transcript is spliced from 2 exons. NCBI's taxonomy places the organism in Eukaryota, Viridiplantae, Streptophyta, Magnoliopsida, Proteales, Proteaceae.